AAUAUUGGACAAUGGGCGAAAGCCUGAUCCAGCAAUGCCGCGUGUGUGAAGAAGGCCUUAGGGUUGUAAAGCAUUUUCAGCAGGGAGGAAAAGCAUAGGGCUAAUACCCCUGUGUCUGUACGUAACCUGCAGAAGAAGCACCGGCUAAUUCCGUCCCAGCAGCCGCGGCAAUACGGAGGGUGCAAGCGUUAAUCGGAAUUACUGGGCGUAAAGCGCGCGUAGGCGGUUUGAUAAGUCGGGUGUGAAAGCCCCGGGCUUAACCUGGGAAUGGCAUUCGAUACUGUCAGGCUAGAGUAUGGUAGAGGAAAGCGGAAUUCCACAUGUAGCGGUGAAAUGCGUAGAUAUGUGGAGGAACACCAGUGGCGAAGGCGGCUUUCUGGACCAAUACUGACGCUGAGGUGCGAAAGCGUGGGGAGCAAACA
RNAcentral lists this ribosomal RNA (422 nucleotides) under uncultured bacterium. RNAcentral describes it as "partial 16S ribosomal RNA". It matches the Rfam family "Bacterial small subunit ribosomal RNA", at positions 360 to 774 of the family's 1533-position model. The record is from RNAcentral.